UACGUAGGGUGCAAGCGUUGUCCGGAAUUAUUGGGCGUAAAGAGCUCGUAGGUGGUCUGUUGCGUCGGCUGUGAAAACCCGAGGCUCAACCUCGGGCCUGCAGCCGAUACGGGCAGACUAGAGUUCGGCAGGGGAGACUGGAAUUCCUGGUGUAGCGGUGAAAUGCGUAGAUAUCUGGAGGAAUACCGGUGGCGAAGGCGGCAUCCUGGACCGGCAUUGACGCUGAUGAGCGAAAGCUAGGGGAGCAAACGGG
This 253-nucleotide ribosomal RNA is filed under the name uncultured bacterium. RNAcentral describes it as "partial 16S ribosomal RNA". It matches the Rfam family "Bacterial small subunit ribosomal RNA", at positions 524 to 776 of the family's 1533-position model. The record is from RNAcentral.